GGCUCUUUGGUGAUGUGAUCAGCACAUUUGACUCUUACUUGGGAGACUGGGGUUCAAUUCCCCGCCUGGGCCC
Molecule: non-coding RNA, 73 nt
Organism: Gymnothorax javanicus (giant moray)
Lineage: Eukaryota; Metazoa; Chordata; Actinopteri; Anguilliformes; Muraenidae
Source: the annotation of a GenBank genome assembly